UGAGGAAUAUUGGGCAAUGCCCGCAAGGGUGACCCAGCAACGCCGCGUGGAGGAUGAAUGUCGUAAGAUUGUAAACUCCUGUUAGAGGGGAAGAAUAGUACCGGUUGGACCGGUAUAUGACUGUACCCUCAGAGAAAGCCCCGGCUAACUACGUGCCAGCAGCCGCGGUAAUACGUAGGGGGCAAGCGUUGUCCGGAUUUACUGGGUGUAAAGGGAGCGUAGGCGGUUUGGUAAGUUGAGUGUGAAAUCUACCGGCUUAACUGGUAGACUUCGCUGAAAACUACCAAACUUGAGUGCAGUAGAGGCAGUCGGAAUUCCCGGUGUAGCGGUGGAAUGCGUAGAUACCGGGAGGAACACCAGUGGCGAAGGCGGCCUGCUGGGCUUUUACUGACGCUGAUGCUCGAAAGCAUGGGGAG
RNAcentral lists this ribosomal RNA (416 nucleotides) under uncultured bacterium. Its description in RNAcentral is "bacterial SSU rRNA". It matches the Rfam family "Bacterial small subunit ribosomal RNA", at positions 355 to 768 of the family's 1533-position model. The record is from RNAcentral.